AGCCCCAGCGCAAGGCGUAAAAAGGCGAGCGAGUCAGUGAGAGCAACUCACGUUAAUAAAGCGUA
Molecule: non-coding RNA, 65 nt
Filed under: Erysipelotrichaceae bacterium 5_2_54FAA
Lineage: Bacteria; Bacillati; Bacillota; Erysipelotrichia; Erysipelotrichales; Erysipelotrichaceae
Description: GP20-b RNA
Rfam family: GP20-b RNA
Source: RNAcentral